RNAcentral lists this ribosomal RNA (413 nucleotides) under uncultured bacterium. RNAcentral describes it as "bacterial SSU rRNA". It matches the Rfam family "Bacterial small subunit ribosomal RNA", at positions 945 to 1359 of the family's 1533-position model. The record is from RNAcentral.
AUUAAUUCGAUGCAACGCGAAGAACCUUACCAAGGCUUGACAUGGGGUGAAAACUCGUAGAGAUACGGGGUCCGCAAGGGCGCCUCACAGGUGGUGCAUGGUUGUCGUCAGCUCGUGUCGUGAGAUGUUGGGUUAAGUCCCGCAACGAGCGCAACCCUCGUUCUAUGUUGCCAGCACGUAAUGGUGGGGACUCAUAGGAGACUGCCGGGGUCAACUCGGAGGAAGGUGGGGAUGAGGUCAAAUCAUCAUGCCCCUUAUGUCUUGGGCUUCACGCAUGCUACAAUGGCCGGUACAAAGGGCUGCGAAACCGUAAGGUGGAGCGAAUCUCAAAAAGCCGGUCUCAGUUCGGAUUGGGGUCUGCAACUCGACCCCAUGAAGUCGGAGUCGCUAGUAAUCGCAGAUCAGCAACGCUG